CCUACAAGUCGAGCAGGGACGAAAGUCGGGCUUAGUGAUCCGGUGGUUCCGCAUGGAAGGGCCAUCGCUCAACGGAUAAAAGCUACCCCGGGGAUAACAGGCUUAUCUCCCCCAAGAGUCCACAUCGACGGGGAGGUUUGGCACCUCGAUGUCGGCUCAUCGCAUCCUGGGGCUGUAGUCGGUCCCAAGGGUUGGGCUGUUCGCCCAUUAAAGCGGUACGCGAGCUGGGUUCAGAACGUCGUGAGACAGUUCGGUCCCUAUCCGUCGUGGGCGUAGGAAAUUUGAGAGGAGCUGUCCUUAGUACGAGAGGACCGGGAUGGACACACCGCUGGUGUACCAGUUGUCUUGCCAAAGGCAUCGCUGGGUAGCUAUGUGUGGACGGGAUAAGUGCUGAAAGCAUCUAAGCAUGAAGCCCCCCUCAAGAUGAGAUUUCCCAUAGCGCAAGCUAGUAAGAUCCCUGAAAGAUGAUCAGGUUGAUAGGUCAGAGGUGGAAGCGUGGCGACAUGUGUAGCUGACUGAUACUAAUCGAUCGAGGACUUAACCAAAUU
RNAcentral lists this ribosomal RNA (548 nucleotides) under Priestia megaterium. RNAcentral describes it as "bacterial LSU rRNA". It matches the Rfam family "Bacterial large subunit ribosomal RNA", at positions 2381 to 2925 of the family's 2925-position model. Lineage: Bacteria; Bacillati; Bacillota; Bacilli; Caryophanales; Bacillaceae. The record is from RNAcentral.